ACUUAGACACCUUGGACUACAAAAGAGGUAUCACAGGGCAGGGGACUUGGGAGCCACUUUGUAGCUUUCUGAGACUCAGUUUCCUUACCUGCAAAACAGGGACCAUGAAACCUGCCUCACAGACUUCAGUCAUGUGCAGAGCCUGGGAGAGGUGCCUAUCAAGCCUUUGUUGGAUAAAAGAAGGAAGAUCCCACAUGCCGCAGAGCAACUAAGCCCAUGUGCCAC
This is a non-coding RNA of Delphinapterus leucas (beluga whale), 225 nucleotides long. The record is from RefSeq and is a predicted model, not a curated record. NCBI's taxonomy places the organism in Eukaryota, Metazoa, Chordata, Mammalia, Artiodactyla, Monodontidae.